GUAGCUCAGCUGGUUAGAGCGCUGGUCUCAUAAGCCGGAGGUCGGGAGUUCAAGUCUCCCC
Molecule: transfer RNA, 61 nt
Filed under: Campylobacter coli
Lineage: Bacteria; Pseudomonadati; Campylobacterota; Epsilonproteobacteria; Campylobacterales; Campylobacteraceae
Description: tRNA-Met
Rfam family: tRNA
About the family: Transfer RNA (tRNA) molecules are approximately 80 nucleotides in length. Their secondary structure includes four short double-helical elements and three loops (D, anti-codon, and T loops). Further hydrogen bonds mediate the characteristic L-shaped molecular structure. tRNAs have two regions of fundamental functional importance: the anti-codon, which is responsible for specific mRNA codon recognition, and the 3' end, to which the tRNAs corresponding amino acid is attached (by aminoacyl-tRNA synthetases). tRNAs cope with the degeneracy of the genetic code in two manners: having more than one tRNA (with a specific anti-codon) for a particular amino acid; and 'wobble' base-pairing, i.e. permitting non-standard base-pairing at the 3rd anti-codon position.
Source: RNAcentral